This 497-nucleotide ribosomal RNA is filed under the name uncultured bacterium. Its description in RNAcentral is "partial 16S ribosomal RNA". It matches the Rfam family "Bacterial small subunit ribosomal RNA", at positions 28 to 507 of the family's 1533-position model. The record is from RNAcentral.
GAUGAACGCUGGCGGCGUGCCUAAUACAUGCAAGUCGAGCGAACAGACGAGGAGCUUGCUCCUCUGACGUUAGCGGCGGACGGGUGAGUAACACGUGGAUAACCUACCUAUAAGACUGGGAUAACUUCGGGAAACCGGAGCUAAUACCGGAUAAUAUAUUGAACCGCAUGGUUCAAUAGUGAAAGACGGUUUUGCUGUCACUUAUAGAUGGAUCCGCGCCGCAUUAGCUAGUUGGUAAGGUAACGGCUUACCAAGGCAACGAUGCGUAGCCGACCUGAGAGGGUGAUCAGCCACACUGGAACUGAGACACGGUCCAGACUCCUACGGGAGGCAGCAGUAGGGAAUCGUCCGCAAUGGGCGAAAGCUUGACGGAGCAACGCCGCGUGAGUGAUGAAGGUCAUCGGAUCGUAAAACUCUGUUAUUAGGGAAGAACAAAUGUGUAAGUAACGAUGCACGUCUUGACGGUACCUAAUCAGAAAGCCACGGCUAACUACGUG